RNAcentral lists this ribosomal RNA (452 nucleotides) under uncultured organism. RNAcentral describes it as "partial 16S ribosomal RNA". It matches the Rfam family "Bacterial small subunit ribosomal RNA", at positions 330 to 798 of the family's 1533-position model. The record is from RNAcentral.
CGUACACUCCUACGGGAGGCAGCAGUGGGGAAUAUUGGACAAUGGGCGCAAGCCUGAUCCAGCCAUGCCGCGUGAGUGAUGAAGGCCCUAGGGUUGUAAAGCUCUUUCACCGGUGAAGAUAAUGACGGUAACCGGAGAAGAAGCCCCGGCUAACUUCGUGCCAGCAGCCGCGGUAAUACGAAGGGGGCUAGCGUUGUUCGGAUUUACUGGGCGUAAAGCGCACGUAGGCGGACUAUUAAGUCAGGGGUGAAAUCCCGGGGCUCAACCCCGGAACUGCCUUUGAUACUGGUAGUCUUGAGUUCGAGAGAGGUGAGUGGAAUUCCGAGUGUAGAGGUGAAAUUCGUAGAUAUUCGGAGGAACACCAGUGGCGAAGGCGGCUCACUGGCUCGAUACUGACGCUGAGGUGCGAAAGCGUGGGGAGCAAAUAGGAUUAGAUACCCCAGUAGUCCCAU